UACGUAGGGACCAAGCGUUGUCCGGAAUCAUUGGGCGUAAAGAGCGUGUAGGCGGCUUGUUAAGUCUUGUGUGAAAUCUCGGGGCUCAACCCCGAGCGGUCAUGAGAAACUGGCAGGCUAGAGUCCGGGAGAGGAGAGUGGAAUUCCUGGUGUAGCGGUGAAAUGCGCAGAUAUCAGGAAGAACACCCGUGGCGAAAGCGGCUCUCUGGAACGGUACUGACGCUGAGACGCGAAAGCGUGGGGAGCGAACAGG
This 253-nucleotide ribosomal RNA is filed under the name uncultured bacterium. Its description in RNAcentral is "partial 16S ribosomal RNA". It matches the Rfam family "Bacterial small subunit ribosomal RNA", at positions 524 to 776 of the family's 1533-position model. The record is from RNAcentral.